Molecule: ribosomal RNA, 433 nt
Filed under: uncultured bacterium
Lineage: Bacteria
Description: partial 16S ribosomal RNA
Rfam family: Bacterial small subunit ribosomal RNA
Source: RNAcentral
AGCGAACGCUGGCGGCAGGCCUAACACAUGCAAGUCGAACGAACUCUUCGGAGUUAGUGGCGGACGGGUGCGUAACACGUGGGAACGUGCCUUUUGGUUCGGAAUAACUCAGGGAAACUUGUGCUAAUACCGAAUGUGCCCUUCGGGGGAAAGAUUUAUCGCCAUUAGAGCGGCCCGCGUCUGAUUAGCUAGUUGGUGAGGUAACGGCUCACCAAGGCGACGAUCAGUAGCUGGUCUGAGAGGAUGACCAGCCACACUGGGACUGAGACACGGCCCAGACUACUACGGGAGGAAGCAGUGGGGAAUCUUGCGCAAUGGGCGAAAGCCUGACGCAGCCAUGACGCGUGAAUGAUGAAGGUCUUAGGAUUGUAAAAUUCUUUCACCGGGGACGAUAAUGACGGUACCCGGAGAAGAAGCCCCGGCUAACUUCGUG